RNAcentral lists this transfer RNA (68 nucleotides) under Dendrochirus zebra (zebra turkeyfish). RNAcentral's name for it is "tRNA-Phe". It matches the Rfam family "tRNA". From Rfam's summary of the family: Transfer RNA (tRNA) molecules are approximately 80 nucleotides in length. Their secondary structure includes four short double-helical elements and three loops (D, anti-codon, and T loops). Further hydrogen bonds mediate the characteristic L-shaped molecular structure. tRNAs have two regions of fundamental functional importance: the anti-codon, which is responsible for specific mRNA codon recognition, and the 3' end, to which the tRNAs corresponding amino acid is attached (by aminoacyl-tRNA synthetases). tRNAs cope with the degeneracy of the genetic code in two manners: having more than one tRNA (with a specific anti-codon) for a particular amino acid; and 'wobble' base-pairing, i.e. permitting non-standard base-pairing at the 3rd anti-codon position. RNAcentral also lists the same sequence under 6 other names. The record is from RNAcentral. Lineage: Eukaryota; Metazoa; Chordata; Actinopteri; Perciformes; Scorpaenidae.
GUUAGCGUAGCUUAACUAAAGCAUAACACUGAAGAUGUUAAGAUGGGCCCUAGAAAGCCCCGCCAACA